Molecule: long non-coding RNA, 594 nt
Filed under: Anas platyrhynchos (mallard)
Lineage: Eukaryota; Metazoa; Chordata; Aves; Anseriformes; Anatidae
Description: lncRNA (ENSAPLG00020013266.1)
Source: RNAcentral
CAAAGGUGUAAUUUGUACUGACAGAGGGAUCCCUGGGGAACCUGGAGCAAAAGGUCAGAUAGGCCUUCCAGGAAGAAAAGGUGAAAAAGGAGAAAAAGGAAACCAAGGCCUCUGCUCAUGUAGUGCUGGUCCUCCUGGUCCCCGUGGUAUACAAGGACCUCCAGGGUACUCAAGGAAGGAAAGGACAAAUGGGUUACCCUGGAAGACAUGGAGAAAAGGGUGAUCCAGGCUUAUCUGGUGCAAUGGGAUCACCAGGGCUCCCUGGGACACCUGGUUCUGCUGGACAACAUGGUGAAAAAGGAGAAAAGGGUGACCUAGGAAGAGUUAGAAUAAAAGGAAUAAAAGGUGAAAGAGGUCCUACUGGGGUUCCAGGAUUUCCAGGCCAAAGAGGUAAUGACGGCAGAGAUGGGGAUUUAGGAUUGCCUGGGGAGAAAGGAGCUGAGGUACGUUUGACUUUCUCAAGAUUUUUUUUUUUAUAUCAGUUAAUAUAGUGUCUUAAGAAAGGCUAGCUCUUAAUGAAAACUGUCAUCGUAUUCCAAAUUUGUAGCAGAUUAAUCAGUUUCAACAUUUUCUGUUAGCCUAGAUCAAAAAUCA